RNAcentral lists this ribosomal RNA (482 nucleotides) under uncultured bacterium. RNAcentral describes it as "partial 16S ribosomal RNA". It matches the Rfam family "Bacterial small subunit ribosomal RNA", at positions 28 to 507 of the family's 1533-position model. The record is from RNAcentral.
GAUGAACGCUGGCGGCGUGCCUAAUACAUGCAAGUCGAACGCUUCACUUCGGUGAAGAGUGGCGCACGGGUGAGUAAUACAUAAGUAACCUGGCAUCUACAGGGGGAUAACUGAUGGAAACGUCAGCUAAGACCGCAUAGGUGUAGAGAUCGCAUGAACUCUAUAUGAAAAGUGCUACGGGACUGGUAGAUGAUGGACUUAUGGCGCAUUAGCUUGUUGGUAGGGUAACGGCCUACCAAGGCGACGAUGCGUAGCCGACCUGAGAGGGUGACCGGCCACACUGGGACUGAGACACGGCCCAGACUCCUACGGGAGGCAGCAGUAGGGAAUUUUCGGCAAUGGGGGGAACCCUGACCGAGCAACGCCGCGUGAAGGAAGAAGUAAUUCGGUAUGUAAACUUCUGUCAUAGAGGAAGAACGGUGGAUAUAGGGAAUGAUAUCCAAGUGACGGUACUCUAUAAGAAAGCCACGGCUAACUACGUG